This 72-nucleotide transfer RNA is filed under the name Camelus bactrianus (Bactrian camel). It matches the Rfam family "tRNA". Rfam says of the family: Transfer RNA (tRNA) molecules are approximately 80 nucleotides in length. Their secondary structure includes four short double-helical elements and three loops (D, anti-codon, and T loops). The record is from Rfam by way of RNAcentral. Lineage: Eukaryota; Metazoa; Chordata; Mammalia; Artiodactyla; Camelidae. RNAcentral also lists the same sequence under 2 other names.
GAGGGUAUAGCUCAGUGGCAGAGUGUGUGCUUAGCAUGCACGAGGUCCUGGGUUCAAUCCCCAGUACCUCCA